AGCUGGCUGGUACCAUGAGGUGACUUCUGCCCAGUGCUCUGAUUGUCAUGCAGAAGAGAUUCAUGCAAGCGCGGGUAAACGGCGGGAGUAACUAUGACUCUCUUAAGGUAGCCAAAUGCCUCGUCAACCAAUUAUUGACGCGCAUGAAUGGAUCAACGAGAUUCCUGCUGUCCCUAGGUGCUGUCCGGUGAACCAACAGCCAAGGGAACGGGCUUGGGCGUGUCAGCGGGGAAAGAAGACCCUGUUGAGUUUGACUCUAGUUUGAUGCUGUGCAGUGACAUGUGGGGUGUAGCAUAGGUGGGAGGCCAGUGCCAUCCGACUACCCACCACCUAUCUCAGCAGCCACCAGGAAUGUGUGUGCAUGUGAAAAGGAGGAAGCCUCGUGACAGAGAGCCAAGAUGGUGCAAACCAGCAAUGAAAUACCACUACCUUCACCGUCGCUUUACUCAUCGAGUGACUUGGGAACAGUGGCCAAUUGGACAUCAGUGCUUGCAAUCCUGUGGGUACUGCGGCCUCAUCCUGUUUCGUGAAUCAAGUGUGGCCAGCUUGCUGGCAGCAUGACCCUGUGGGUUCACACCCACCCUCAUUGGUGCCUCGGGACAAUGAUCAGUUGGGGAGUUUGGCUGGGGCGGCACGCCUGUUACAGGACAACGCAGGCGUCCUGAAGCAAUGCUCAGAUGGAACAGAAAUCUUGCAUGGAGGAGCAGGCCAAAGGUGCUGCUGAUGCGGCGGCUUCCAGUACAAGCCCAAAACGUGCAAACGUGGCCUUGCGAUCCUUUGGUCAAGUGUGCGGGUUCUGGAUAUUGAAGCCAGAGGUGUCAGAAAAAUUACCACAGGGAUAACUGGCUUGUGGCUGCCAAGCGUUCAAAGCGACGUCGCUUUUUGAUCCUUCGAUGUCGGCUCUUCCUAGCUUCCCACCCGCAGCCGAGUGGAAGAGUUGGAUUGUUCACCCACCAACAGGGAACGUGAGCUGGGUUUA
RNAcentral lists this ribosomal RNA (979 nucleotides) under Lepocinclis steinii. RNAcentral describes it as "LSU rRNA". It matches the Rfam family "Eukaryotic large subunit ribosomal RNA", at positions 2172 to 2965 of the family's 3401-position model. The record is from RNAcentral. Lineage: Eukaryota; Euglenozoa; Euglenophyceae; Euglenales; Phacaceae.